GCCAAGUGGAUCAAGGCAG
This 19-nucleotide transfer RNA is filed under the name Prunus armeniaca (apricot). Its description in RNAcentral is "partial tRNA-His". Lineage: Eukaryota; Viridiplantae; Streptophyta; Magnoliopsida; Rosales; Rosaceae. The record is from RNAcentral. RNAcentral also lists the same sequence under 6 other names.